This 84-nucleotide transfer RNA is filed under the name Candidatus Portnoyibacteriota bacterium. RNAcentral describes it as "tRNA-Cys". It matches the Rfam family "tRNA". From Rfam's summary of the family: Transfer RNA (tRNA) molecules are approximately 80 nucleotides in length. Their secondary structure includes four short double-helical elements and three loops (D, anti-codon, and T loops). Further hydrogen bonds mediate the characteristic L-shaped molecular structure. tRNAs have two regions of fundamental functional importance: the anti-codon, which is responsible for specific mRNA codon recognition, and the 3' end, to which the tRNAs corresponding amino acid is attached (by aminoacyl-tRNA synthetases). tRNAs cope with the degeneracy of the genetic code in two manners: having more than one tRNA (with a specific anti-codon) for a particular amino acid; and 'wobble' base-pairing, i.e. permitting non-standard base-pairing at the 3rd anti-codon position. The record is from RNAcentral. Lineage: Bacteria; Candidatus Portnoyibacteriota. RNAcentral also lists the same sequence under 1 other name.
GGCGCUGUAGUUCUAAUAAGGAUGGAGAACGCAUGCCUGCAGUGCAGGUAUGUAAUACGGGUUCGAAUCCCGUCAGCGCCGCCA